RNAcentral lists this ribosomal RNA (452 nucleotides) under uncultured bacterium. RNAcentral's name for it is "partial 16S ribosomal RNA". It matches the Rfam family "Bacterial small subunit ribosomal RNA", at positions 28 to 507 of the family's 1533-position model. The record is from RNAcentral.
GAUGAACGCUGGCGGCGUGCCUAACACAUGCAAGUCGAGCGAUUCUCGUCGGAUAAGAGCUGCGGACGGGGGAGUAACGCGGGGGUAACCUUCCCUGUACACACGGAUGACAUGGCGAAAGUUAGGCUAAUACGAGAUAAUAUGCUUUUAUCGCGUGGGAGAAGGAUCAAAGCUUUUGCGGUACAGGAUGUACGGUCGUCCUAUUAGCUAGUUGGUAAGGUAACGGCUUACCAAGGCGAGAAUCAGUAGACUACCUGAGAGGUUGAUCGGCGACAUUGGAACUGAGACGCGGUCCAAAAUAUUACGGGAGGGACGAGUGCCGAAUCCUGCAAAAUCGCGGAAAGGCUGAUGCACCAAGGAUGGGUAAGCGAUGAAGGUCUGGGGGUCGUAAAGUUCUGUACUACAGGAAUAUAAUGACGUUACUUGCGGAGGAAGCACCGGCUAACUACGUG